RNAcentral lists this ribosomal RNA (306 nucleotides) under uncultured soil bacterium. Its description in RNAcentral is "bacterial SSU rRNA". It matches the Rfam family "Bacterial small subunit ribosomal RNA", at positions 26 to 329 of the family's 1533-position model. The record is from RNAcentral.
AGAGUGAACGCUGGCGGCAGGCCUAACACAUGCAAGUCGAACGGCAGCACAGGGGAGCUUGCUCCCUGGGUGGCGAGUGGCGGACGGGUGAGGAAUACAUCGGAAUCUACCCAGUCGUGGGGGAUAACCGUCGGGAAACCGGGACUAAUACCGCAUACGACCCACGGGUGAAAGCGGAGGACCGCAAGGCUUCGCGCGAUUGGAUGAGCCGAUGUCGGAUUAGCUUGUUGGCGGGUAACGGCCCACAAGGCGACGAUCCGUAGCUGGUCUGAGAGGAUGAUCAGCCACACUGGAACUGAGACACGG